UUCUUCCUGCUCCCAGUUUUGCCUUCUGCUCAGGUGAAUGCUGAACGUCACCAAUCAUACUAAAUCAUACGCAUUAUUACUCGUUCUUCGUCAUUGUUAUUUAUCGUAGCAGAUAAAUCAGUGCGAGUUAUUUCGAUGACGAUGACAACGAGUUCCAAGCAGGGUUCCAAGCGUUCGAAAUGGGCCUUGGACUUUGCUCACAAAACAAAACAAGACAAAAGCGUGGAGAUACCGUCCCCACCAGGAUACACACCCACUGGUUCCCUCUUUCACAAUGUUGAAUAUAUGAGAGAAUCUGACUCCAAUCAUUUAAUAAUCAAGAAGUCCUGGGAUCUGGCAUUGGGUCCCCUUAAACAAGUACCCAUGAAUCUAUUUAUUAUGUAUAUGGCUGGCAAUUCCAUCUCAAUCUUUCCUAUCAUGAUGGUCUGUAUGCUUAUCAUCAGGCCAGUCAAAGCACUGUUCACGCUACAGCAGACAUUCAAAGUGAUCGAAGGAACACACGCGUUCGGACAGAAAUUUGUAUAUUUCUUAGGACAGUUGGUUAAUAUCGCGUUAGCAUUAUACAAGUGUCAGUCCAUGGGUCUGUUACCAACACAUGCAUCCGAUUGGCUGGCGUUCGUGGAGCCGCAGGCACGAGUGGAGUACUCCGGUGGUGGUUUCAUAUAUAUUUGAUGUGCAUAGUCGCUCGGUAGCAGACUUAAUAAGAACAUCACAAUAAGUGCAUAUGUACGCUCGACAAGAGUGCAAUCAAACUCUUGUAUUCGUUGGUACAAUUUGGAUGGCUCAUCUACACGUGGCACCUACAAAAGAAAUAUAGUCCUGCAGAAAGCGACAAUAUGUUGCGUACACAUGCGUACAUGUAGCCUUAUACAAUUUCCAAAUUUGAAUCAUUUAAGGAUGCAAGUAUUGUAUUACAGCAAGUUGCAUAUUACAGCUAUUUAUACAAAGAACUGCUAGCUAGUAUAACUACAUCUUAGAUUAAUACGUUAAAAGAGAAGUUUGUUUGAAUAAAACAAAUAAAUUAGG
This 1026-nucleotide unclassified non-coding RNA is filed under the name Harpegnathos saltator (Jerdon's jumping ant). RNAcentral describes it as "eR membrane protein complex subunit 4, transcript variant X1". The record is from RNAcentral. Lineage: Eukaryota; Metazoa; Arthropoda; Insecta; Hymenoptera; Formicidae.